RNAcentral lists this small nuclear RNA (276 nucleotides) under Ophiophagus hannah (king cobra). RNAcentral describes it as "7SK RNA". It matches the Rfam family "7SK RNA". From Rfam's summary of the family: 7SK was discovered as an abundant small nuclear RNA in the mid-70s but a possible function has only recently been suggested. Two independent studies have found that 7SK RNA binds the CDK9/cyclin T complex (known as elongation factor P-TEFb). P-TEFb activates transcription by phosphorylating the C-terminal domain of RNA polymerase II. Lineage: Eukaryota; Metazoa; Chordata; Lepidosauria; Squamata; Elapidae. The record is from Rfam by way of RNAcentral.
GGAUAAGGGGGAUCUGGCUGCAACAUCUGUCAUUCCAUUGAUCACCAGGGUUGAUUCAGCUGAUCUGUCUGGCUAGGCAGGUGUCCCCUUCCUCACCACACCAAGUAUGUCCCUCUCAAAGAUGUCUGUUCAAUGGAAGAUGAGCAUCCCAAAUAGAAGGAAUGUACCGAUCUUUGGUCAAGAGCAGAGGUGGUGUUCAGCCAGUUCUGACAGGUUCUGGAGAACUGGUAGCGGAUAAUUUUGGGUAGUUUGGCGAAUUGUCAAGUACCACCUCUG